This 389-nucleotide long non-coding RNA is filed under the name Rattus norvegicus (Norway rat). Its description in RNAcentral is "long non-coding RNA NONRATT027923". Lineage: Eukaryota; Metazoa; Chordata; Mammalia; Rodentia; Muridae. The record is from RNAcentral.
CUGCCCUAACUGAAGCCCACUGAGGAGCCACAGAGAGACAAGGUCGCCAGAGUUGUACUUCGGGUUCAGGAACAUUCCCCUGGAUUCAGUAUGCCAAAAGACUUAUAGAGAGGGAUCUACAGUAUGCUUUAAGGAUUCCCGAGGCACACUGGGAGACAGAGUCAUUAACUGCCUCGCACAGAGUGAAUGGAAGUCUAGCUUUCUGCUUAGGUUUUCCUCUUGGACACAGGGAAGCGUUAACAUUGCUUUCCGUAAUCCUCUCUGGUAUUAGGCUGCUUUUUACUUACCAAACCAAAUAAAUCCAGGAGUCUCCAAUGUUAGCUGAGGAGGAAACAGAGGGCAUUGAGUUCACUGUCCCCUCUCAUGUGCAGUUCCCUGCCACUACAGCG